GACGAACGCUGGCGGCGUGCUUAACACAUGCAAGUCGAACGGUGAAGCGGCUUCCUUUUUGGUGGGUGUGGAGGAGUGGCGAACGGGCGAGUAACACGUGAGUAACCUGCCUCCUUCUGCUGGAUAACCGCAGGAAAGUGUGGCUAAUACGGGAUAUUAUGGACCUGUCGCAUCAUGGGUCUGGGAAAGAUAUUGUUUCGGUGGGGGAUGGGCUCGCGGCCUAUCAGGUUGUUGGUGGGGGGAUGGCCUACCAAGGCGGUGAGGGGUAGCCGUGCUGAGAGGAUCGACGGCCACACUGGGGAGGCAAGGCCGCCACGCCUCCUGGGGGAGGCAGCAGGGAGGAUUAGUGCACAAGGGGAGGACGGAUGAAGCAGCGCCGCGGGGGGGGGGAUGGAGGCCUGCGGGUUGUGAACUUUUUUCGCGAGUGAAGCAGGCCUGCUUCGUGUGUGGGUGGGUUGACGGUAGCUGGAGAAGAAGCGCCGGCUAACUACGUG
Molecule: ribosomal RNA, 494 nt
Filed under: uncultured bacterium
Lineage: Bacteria
Description: partial 16S ribosomal RNA
Rfam family: Bacterial small subunit ribosomal RNA
Source: RNAcentral